RNAcentral lists this ribosomal RNA (292 nucleotides) under uncultured bacterium. RNAcentral's name for it is "partial 16S ribosomal RNA". It matches the Rfam family "Bacterial small subunit ribosomal RNA", at positions 505 to 796 of the family's 1533-position model. The record is from RNAcentral.
GUGUCAGCAGCCGCGGUAAUACGUAGGGGGCAAGCGUUGUCCGGAAUCAUUGGGCGUAAAGAGCGCGUAGGCGGCCCAGUAAGUCCGCUCUGAAAGUCAGGGGCUCAACCCCUGGAUGCGGGUGGAUACUGCUGGGCUAGAGUCCGGAAGAGGCGAGUGGAAUUCCUGGUGUAGCGGUGAAAUGCGCAGAUAUCAGGAGGAACACCGAUGGCGAAGGCAGCUCGCUGGGACGGUACUGACGCUGAGGCGCGAAAGCGUGGGGAGCAAACAGGAUUAGAAACCCCUGUAGUCC